Molecule: unclassified non-coding RNA, 382 nt
Filed under: fungal sp.
Lineage: Eukaryota; Fungi
Description: partial internal transcribed spacer region
Rfam family: Eukaryotic small subunit ribosomal RNA (bases 1-46)
Source: RNAcentral
AAGUCGUAACAAGGUUUCCGUAGGUGAACCUGCGGAAGCAUCAUUAACACGUAUCCAAACGUCAAAACCCCGCAAUCUUUGAUAAAUCAUAGCCCGGAAAGUUGUAGUGAUUCAGAGACCUCUGGCUACGUGCGAACAUUGGAACAGUUACAAUCGAGCGGUAGUUCUAUAGGCAAUGUUUCCCCAAGCAGUCAGUGUCGGAAAGUGUCAUUGAUUGUGCAAGGAUAGCGCUUCUACGAUUCCUGUAGACCGUACACUCGGGCAGGAGCUUUGCCAAAGGGUCCCCAUGCCCCCUAAUAACCCCACAGUUUAAUGUGAAGCUCAAUGUAAUACAUUGGGUAAAAAAACCGAACAACUGUUAACAAUGGAUAUCUUGGUUCUC